This is a non-coding RNA of Rattus norvegicus (Norway rat), 7333 nucleotides long. NCBI's taxonomy places the organism in Eukaryota, Metazoa, Chordata, Mammalia, Rodentia, Muridae. The record is from RefSeq and is a predicted model, not a curated record.
GGUUAAUUGAGAUGGGAUCAUCCACUGCAGAUGGCAUCAUUUCCUGUGUUAGAAUCCUGACACAAUCUGAAAACAUGCUGUCACUGUUCUCUCGGCUACAGAGAGAGCAGCAGCCUCCAGGUCCGGCUGCUGUGGCUUUCCAGCCACGGUGGGCUGUACAAGGGGACUGAGAGAUUAAAAGGCCCUUUCUCUCUUAAGUUUUAUUAGGGCAUUUCAUCAUAGCAACAGGAAAAAGCAACUAAGGCAGCUGCCUGUCAGGAUUCAGAAUCAUCUCAGAGUCAAGCCCCAGGGAAUGUUAACUGCGAAGCUUAACUGAGAAGGGGAGACCCAAUCUGAAUAUGGGCAGCCCCAUUCUCCCAGCUGCAGCCAGGACUGCAUAAAAAGGAGAAAAAGGCAAGCACCAGCACUCACCUAUCUCGGCUUCCCAAUGAGCCACCCCAGGCUCCUUCCCUUGCUGUGACAGACAGCACCGUCUCCCUGUGAGCUCAGAUGAAUUCUUCCUCUUUUAGUUGAUUUUGGUAAGCAUUUUCUUUUCAAAGAAACAAGAAAAAUAAUGCAAAAAAUAUUUCAAUGCCAUAUCGAGACAUAAAUGACAUAGUGAACUGCAUCUGUCCAAAGGGUACAAUUCUAGAAUUGUAACUUAAUGAUUUUAUGUCUCAAUGAAAUUUGUCUAUCACCUCCAAAGUCUCUUACUUCUACCUCGCACCCAUCUGCAGUGGUGUGCGCUUUGCCUUCACCAACUUUAGCUUUUAAUGGAUCUUAUUUCCUUAUUUAGAUCUGUGUGUUUGUGUGUGUGUGUGUGUGUGUGUGUGUGUGUGCGCGCGCGCGCGCGCGUGUGCACUCACAUGCUGCCCAGGGCUGUGCAGGAAGAACAAAUGGCUUUAGAACUGAUAGAAUUCGGCCCACUGGUCACCACAGCUACAUGGGUGAGCCUUGGAGAGCUAAACCCUGAGGACUGUGAGUCCUGAGGACUUCAUGCUGAUAUGGAGUUCUCUCUGCUUGCUGCCUUCACAUCCCUGUUAAUCUAAGAACUGUAUGAAAACUCCAAGGGGGCAUCCAGCCACUCACUGGGCAAUCUCACUGGGACUCACAAUAAUGGUGUUUGAUCUCUUUUCGGCAUCUGCUGGAGCAGAUUAAUGAUCCAGUCAGCACCCUUGGGAAGAACUAGGAGACGAUUGUUAGUAAUGACCGCUGUUCUUAGAAAACAUUUGGAAAAAUAAAGUUGCUAGUGAAGCUCGGUUAAGUUGCUUUUGCUACUGGCUCUGAUGUAGAAAAAUCUUAGGGAAUAACUUGAAGUUCAGAAAGGCACACUCUUAUUAGUUAAGCUAGGGACUUUUUAAGACCAGGGAACAAGAACAAUGGCAGCACUGGCUGUUGUGACUCUCACUGAGGCUGGACUGGUGAUGACUGAUUUCUUAUGCCCAUUUUUGACCUCAGCUUCCUGAUAUGAUUUAAUAAGUAGACAUGUCUUCUGAGGAUUUAAAGUUGAUAUGACUGAUUCUUAUGUAAAAGUUUAGAUUUGUGAUUCUUUUAAAGAUAAGCAAUAAAAUAAUCCUUUCUUUGUAAUCACAAACUGCCGUCUGACAGUAAGAGAAGCUGGCUGAGAAAACUAUCUUGCUUGCUCACAGUUUGUUAAUUUAUAACAUGUUGCUUAGUUACAGAUGUACAUGGGUUCUUAGGAAUAAUUUGUUUUCUCUACCUGUACUGUGCAAUCUUUUUUCCUGUAAAAGUAUUGGGGAAAUACUGUUUUUCAUAGUCAUUCACUAGAAGAAAACUAAAUCGUAACCACACUGUAAUUUCAUACUGCUUGAAAGAUUUUUCUGGGAUAUAUACGCUACGGGAGAAGAAUAAAGUUGUUGGAGCUCUGUUCCUUCCGUCUAAUCUGCAUGCAUGUAUAUAUGUAAAGCUUGUGUGGGUGUGUAUGUUUGUGUGUAUGUGUAUGUGUGUGUAUGUUUGUGUGUGUGUAUAUGUGUGUGUCUGUGUGUUUGUGUAAUACUUAGAGCCUGCUUCAGGAGCUUUGCUACAGGCAUUCAAUGUGUGAUGAUAUAUAUGUAUGCAUGUCUGCAUGUAUGUAUGUAUUUGUAUGUAUGAGGUUGUUGGAGUCUAUGCUCAGUGGUGUGUGUGUGUGUGUGUGUGUGUGAUUUUUCUCUUUCCUUUUCUUUCUAGCCAGCCCCUAAGAGUUUUUCUGACCACAGGGAAUGCCAGCUCCAAUGUUCCUUCAGAGAAAAGUCAGAUGAGUAAUUUCUUUAAUGCUGGCUACCAUAGUCAGCAGCCUCUGUUGGUCGCUACCUGGACCAACCCCUGUCAGUCCCUCUCAGUGCUGAACCUGUCAGCCCCUCUUAGUGCUGACCCCCACUGAUGCCACAGUUCACUGUCUCAGAGUCCAGAAGAGGGUGUUCGAACUUCUGAAGCUGGGUUUGCAGAGAGCUGUGACCUGCCCAACAUGGGUGUUGUUUCACUCAGGUCCUCUGUAAGAGCAUCUGAGCUCUUCUGAGCCCUGUCUCUACUCAACAUUCAUUUUUAUUGACAAGGGAUAUUCAGUUGUCGGGUCACUGACUGUACUUAACACAUUCAACUAUUGAUGAAUAUUUGAGUCAUUAUGAGUUUGGGGAUUUUACAAGUAAAACAACAAUGAUUCUUAUGUGCAAAGUCCUUUUGCAGACAUGAGCUUUCAUUUUCCUUGCGUAAAUGCUUUGGGGUAGAAAUUUUGGGUCCUGUGAUUGGGACACAUUUAAUAUUCUAAGAAAUUAGCAUGCUGGUUUGAAAAUAUUUUUUUUGUAUCCAUCAGUAGUCAAUGGGAGUUCUAGAUAAUCUAUGUCCUGGCUAACAUUUGUUAGGGUGAAUAUGGAGUUAUUUUAAUGAGCGUACAACUUACCAUGUAUGAUUUUGUUUUGUAUUUCCCUCAUUUCUUAUAACUUAGCACUUCUGAGGAAGGAGUACAAGCCAGGGGUUUUGUUAAAUAUUUCCCUGAAUGAGUUGUGAAGAAGUCUUAGUCCCCAAGGCCUCUCGCCAUAGAUACCAUCUUUCAUUGUCCUUGAAGAGACAAGAAAGGUUAAAUAAUGGCCUUGGUGUAGGUUGACCCGUGUGAUACAGAGAAUCAAGAGAAGAUCAUGUGACAACACAAAGAAAAGAUGGCUGCCUCUAGGCCAGUGAGCAUUGCUUGGAAGGUGUGACCCUUGCUUGGCACCUUUGACCUCAAUGUUCUCAUGGUUGUGUUUUGUUUCCCUUGUAUGUUUGUGUGUCUUGUAGGUUUCUGUUGAAAGAAAGCAUGAUAUGCUGGAAAUGCAUCUUAGGCAGACAAGUUUGAAGUUAAUGUUUGCUAAAUUGUGUGGAAGACUUUAAUGAAUUCUUUUAUUGUCCUCGCUUUGUCAGCCCUGUGGGCUUCCAUAAAGUUUUAAAUGGUUGGAACCUUUGCAAUUCCUUCAGUCACAGUCUACGUUUUUUAAAUUUAAUUUUAUAUAUUUUAUGUGCAUGGGUGUUUUGUCCACGUGUAUAUCUGUGCAUCAUUGUGCGCCUAGUGUCCUUGGAGGCCAGAGAAAAGCAUUGGGCUCCCAAAGACUAAAGUUACAGAUGGUUGUGAGAGACCAUGUGAGUGCUGGGAUUUGAACCUAGGUCCUCUGGGAGAACAGUUAGGGUUCUUAACCAUUGAGCCAUUUUAGCCAUUUUUUCCAGCUACAUUUGUUGGCUUUCCGACUGACUUUUCCCCCACAUUUUAUGGUACAAUUUCAUAUGCACUGUUCUACAUACACUAAAGUCAUUAUAAUGUAAGGACUCUUCCAAUAUGAAUAACCUUGAAACUUAAGAGAAGAUCAUUUGUCUAUUAUGUUUUUAUCGUAAAAAUAACUAUGAUGGUUAGUUUUAUUUACCAAGUUGACACAGUCUAGAGUCAUGUGGGAAGAGAGUCUUUAUAAGGGACUAAGAUAGGUUGACCACGGGCGUGUCUCUGAGUAUUGUGUUGAAUAUUAAUUGGUGUAGGAAUACCCAGACUAAAAAUGGGGGGUGCCAUUCCCUAUAUUUGGGUCACAAGUUGUAUAGAAGUAGAGCUGGUCAGUAAGCAGCACACAUCAACUCUCUCUCAGCUCUUGACUAUGGGUGUGGCGUGAUUAGCCAAUGUAAGCCUUGCCCUUCCCACUUGGAACUGUAACCUCAAAUAAACUUCUUUCCCCUAAGGGAAAAGUUGCUUUUUAUCAUGCUAUGUCAUCACAGUGACAGAAAGGAGACCAGGACAAAAACCUUAUUGACAGCCCAUGACCUGAAAUCUGUAUUUCCUUUCUUGUCUCCUUGUGACUUUCUAAGCUUUAAGAAAACAUAGUUAGUUCAUCCUGUCAAUGCUCAGACCAUUGCUAUUUCUGCCUCCCAGUUCCUGCAACAUCCACUGUAAAUACUUCCUGUCUUAACCCAGGCAAGUGGGCAUGGCUUCUCCUGAGGACAACUGAACUAUAGCUAUCUUUUCUAAGUACUCACUCCUCUUGGUCAGCGAUUUUUACUCAGGGAGCUUGCUCUGUAAGUAUCCGACGGUUAAAUACCCCAAUCCCCAAAGCGAUGGAUUUAGGAGCUGAAGCUUUGGGGAGGUGAUUUGGUUGUAGAGGUGGACCCUUCUUGAGUAGAAUUGGUGCUGGUAUGAAAAAAACCUCCUGGGAGACUUUUUACCCACUACCAUGAGAGGACACAAGAUGUCAUCACAUAUGAGCCAGUAUAUAUGAUCUUAUCACUUACUAAAUCUGCUGGUAUCUUGAUUUUUUUCACAAUUUCUUGAUUUUGCAAGAAAUUACAAUUUCUAUAAAAUGUGAGAAAUAAAUUUUUAUGGCCUACAAGUUAUAUUGUCUUUGGUAUCUUGUGAGGGAAUCCUGACUAGACAAAGCAAAAGGGUUAUCAUAUAUAUACCCAGAAUGUAUGUACAAAAAUGUCCAUCAUCAUGGCAUUGUCUAUAAUAAUAAAAUGUAUGUAUGGAUGUAUUCAUUACAUCAUUGUCUAUAAUAACAAGUCUAAAAAGUUAGAUGUCUACUAAUGAGGAAUGGAUUAAAUACAACAUGUUACAACCACACCAUAAAGAUUCUAUAGCCACAGAGACUAAGGAAAUACAACUGUGUGUGCUCAUAUAGAAGAUUCUCCACACAUAUUGUCAAGUGCAAAGAAGUGUGGAUGGCAGGAGGUCGUAUGCAGAAUUCUCACGUGUAUGCAGAUCCACUCAAAGAAUAUUCCUACCACUUUAUAAGAAAUCAAUGUUUCUGAAUCUUAAACAGGGAGCUGGAGAUCGGGGGUGACUAGUGGUGUGACAUUUUAGGGGGACUUGCUUUUUGUUGUUUUGAAUCUUUGUUUUUACCGUGUUCAAGUAUGUUUCAGCCUAAAAUAAUCAGAUCUCCACUUCUGGCAAUGGUCAAGUAACAAAGACUGAAUUUGCUCUCUUGGAUCAAUGAUUUAAGAAGCAAGAAUCUGUGGCCUGGAGAGAUGGCUCAGUGGUUAAGAGCACUGACUACUCUUCCAGAGGUCCUGAGUUCAAUUCCCAGCAACCACAUGGUGGCUCACAACCAUCUGUAAAGAGAUCCGAUGCCUUCUUCUGGUAUAUCUGAAGACAGUUACAGUGUACUCAUAUAUAAUAAAUGAAUUAAAAAAAAAGUUAAAAAAAAAGCAAGAAUCUGUGAACAGAGUUAUCCAGACAGAGGACAGCAGUGAGCACAGGGCAAUGAUGUUGGAGAGAAGGGAGCUAAGCAAGAUGAACCAGGCUUGGGACCUGGAAAGUUUUCCCACCCAAGCUCAAGAAGAGACCUAGUGGUUCCGAGUGGAAGAGAAGCAGUGAGGGAAUUGAAAAGUCACUGCAGGUGACUGGACUUCUAAGGCUGCACAGCUGAGAGAGAAGAGCUGAGGGAAGAAGACUUCAAGAGGCCAGGAGAUGGCCACCCUGAGACUUUGAAACAUGAGGUGAAGAUGAAGCCGGAAGAGAACAUGAUCAGUAGACGGCAGAACACGAGUGCUCGCACAGACAGGGGCCAUGGCUCACACUCCCUAGGAACACACGGAGUGUUCAAGGGAGUCGGCUUCGUGGCAGAGUCAGGGCUGCUAUGACUUGCCGAGCAAAGCUUGCUGGCAUCAAACGGUUGCCAGGUUACUGAAUCCCACCCUCAUGCAAAGGUCAAAAAUAGUUAAAUUACAAGACAUCUAAAACCCGAAAGGGUGAAAUUCACUAUGUCUUGCAUUCAGGAAAAAUCAUCAGUCAUGCAAAUCUCAGAAAAUAGAACUUAAAAUGGGAGUGAAAAGUAGAGACCUAGAAAUGAUACAGACAAGGAUAUUACAGCAAUAUAAUAAUAUAAUAAAUAUAUAAUAAAUAAUAAAUAAGCAAUAUAAUAAAUUUAUUAUAACGUGUUUCAGACCGUAAAGACUACUUAUGUCAUGCACAUAUAUGGGAAAAUCUAAGAUGACCUAGGAUCUAAUUUUAGAAGUAAAAAGUGUACUAGAUAGUCUUUUCUUUUAAAAUAUUUAUUAUGUAUAGUAGUCUGCCUACAUGUGGGCCCAAAGCCAGAAAAGAGCGCCAGAUCCCAUUAUAGAUGGUUAUGAGCCACCGUGUGGUUGCCGGGAAUUGAACUCAGGACCUCUGGAAGAGCAGUCAGUGCUCUUAACCACUAAGCCAACUCCCCAGUCCUUAGAUAGUCUUAACUAGAUUGGAUACCAAAGGAGAGAAGAGAGUCAGAGUGUUCUACUGUAAACACAAAACAAAACAGAACAUCAUUGAGCGGUACGAAAACUUUCUAUAACAUUCCACACAUGUAUUUUGAGUUCCUAAAGAAUGUAUGUAGAAGACUAUUCUAAGAAAGAGUUGUCAAAAGUUUUCCAAAUUUGAUGGGAAAAACAAUGUAUUGAUCAAAGAAACUCCAAAUCACCUUAAACACAAAGAAAAACACACACACAAAGAAAAACACAUGUCUUAUAUAUCUUAGUAGCACUUCUUGUAACUAGUGACACACAUAAAAGCUCUCAAAGUCACCACUGAAAAACGACACAGGGACACUAGAGCCCGAAAGCAGGCUUCUCAGGGGAAACCGGAAGACAGAAGACAGUGGGAUCCUGCCCACUCAGUCUGCAGCUCAGAAGUGCACACACAGCCAAUGGCAUGUAAAUGAUAAACUUUCCAGACACACGAGAUCUGAAAGACUCUUCUAACAGAAGACCUCACCAGAGGAAAUGUUAGAGGAGGUCCUUCAGGCGGAUGGUAAGCAAAGUCAAACUGGAGACAGGUGAAUGAAGAAGGAGAAUAUAUAAGAGGAAAUAUAAGUCAGGUUUAUUUUCAAAAAUGCCUUAAAACAGAAUUGUUUAAAUAAAAAGAAAUGAAAUGAAGACA